Molecule: ribosomal RNA, 766 nt
Filed under: Lentilactobacillus buchneri
Lineage: Bacteria; Bacillati; Bacillota; Bacilli; Lactobacillales; Lactobacillaceae
Description: bacterial SSU rRNA
Rfam family: Bacterial small subunit ribosomal RNA
Source: RNAcentral
AUGCAGUCGACGCGUCUCCGUUGAUGAUUUUAGGUGCUUGCACUUGAAAGAUUUAACAUUGAGACGAGUGGCGAACUGGUGAGUAACACGUGGGUAACCUGCCCUUGAAGUAGGGGAUAACACUUGGAAACAGGUGCUAAUACCGUAUAACAACCAAAACCACCUGGUUUUGGUUUAAAAGACGGCUUCGGCUGUCACUUUAGGAUGGACCCGCGGCGUAUUAGCUUGUUGGUAAGGUAACGGCCUACCAAGGCGAUGAUACGUAGCCGACCUGAGAGGGUAAUCGGCCACAUUGGGACUGAGACACGGCCCAAACUCCUACGGGAGGCAGCAGUAGGGAAUCUUCCACAAUGGACGAAAGUCUGAUGGAGCAACGCCGCGUGAGUGAUGAAGGGUUUCGGCUCGUAAAACUCUGUUGUUGGAGAAGAACAGGUGUCAAAGUAACUGUUGACAUCUUGACGGUAUCCAACCAGAAAGCCACGGCUAACUACGUGCCAGCAGCCGCGGUAAUACGUAGGUGGCAAGCGUUGUCCGGAUUUAUUGGGCGUAAAGCGAGCGCAGGCGGUUUUUUAGGUCUGAUGUGAAAGCCUUCGGCUUAACCGGAGAAGUGCAUCGGAACCGGGAGGCUUGAGUGCAGAAGAGGACAGUGGAACUCCAUGUGUAGCGGUGAAAUGCGUAGAUAUAUGGAAGAACACCAGUGGCGAAGGCGGCUGUCUGGUCUGUAACUGACGCUGAGGCUCGAAAGCAUGGGUAGCGAACAGGAUUA